UGGGGCGCUCAGACCUUCAAACUCUGAGCUUGAGAACGACUCUGUUCCUGGCUUCUGAAAAAGGGGAAGCAUCCUCCCACUGACUGCCAGAGGAGUCAGAGAAGCUGAAGAGCUUUGCAGAGGCCUAGCCUGCCACACCUUCCUACAGCCUGUCUCUGACACUGCCUGAAAGCAGGUGGAUGACACAAGAGUUGGAAGACUUCCCUUUCCUUCCCUUAAGGGCUGAUCUACAAACGGUUGAUGAGUGAUCUCUCCCCUGUCAGAGCUGUUAGGAGAAAAUACAAAUGGGACCCUUGAGAGAAGAGAUGAGUUUUACAUCUGUUGCUGGAUGUGGUAAUUUUGGGUUGAGGAGGUGCAUCUCUGCUGGAAGACACUUAGGCCCCUGGCUCUCAAUCAAAACAGCUCUUCCUCUGGGUGCUUUGUUUCACCCUAGAGACUCCCAGUUGAGAUGUUGGUUGUCACAGAUGUGAGAGUGAAAGCAGCUGAUAGAAGAAGCAGAAUACAGAAACUCAACAGCUAACAUCCCAAACACACUCUAAUUGAAUGAUUAAAAAAAAUAAUAAAAGGAUGCCUGA
This is a long non-coding RNA of Talpa occidentalis (Iberian mole), 575 nucleotides long. RefSeq lists it as uncharacterized. The record is from RefSeq and is a predicted model, not a curated record. Lineage: Eukaryota; Metazoa; Chordata; Mammalia; Eulipotyphla; Talpidae. The transcript has 4 exons.